UAGGAAUCAAAAUUAGCCUCUAAGGUCUGAAUUUUCUUUAUUUCCUUGAUAAUACAUUACUUUUUAAAAUCUAAUCUUAAGGUAUUUCCCUAGGUAUCUAUGAGUACCUAAUUGUCAUGAAAUUAGCCAAGGGGUCAUUUCUUUACGUCAGAUUUCAGAAAAAUUAUAAACAUGAAUCCAUUUACUCCUUAGCAUCAUUUUAAUCAACUCUCACCACUUUUGUUUCAUUUUCCUACUUCUCCUCUCCUGGGGAGCUUAUUCUGGAUUUUGGCUCACUUACUGUAAUGAUUAGAAGAACCCUUUAGGCUAAAAGUCUAAAAAGGGCUGAAUAAGCAUGUCUAAAGCUCACAGAAUUACCGAAGAACUUGUUGUAGCUAAAACCAGGAAGAGAUUCAGGAAAUAAUGAUCUGUAAAGAGUGUUAGCAUUAUGUGAAGUGUGUUCUCUUCACUGGUAAAGAUGAUGACAAAUAACAAAAACUGUGAUACAAGUUUCUCUGAGAACAUUUUAAGAAAUAUUUUACUUUUUGGAAUUUAGUCUAAUUGAGCAUUAUAAAAUUUGGACAUGGUAGAAGUGUCUUUUCAUGAGUGACAUUUACAACUUGGUCUGCCUCUCCAGUAGAAGGAGAAAUUGUUACUAUUGAAGUAGUUGAAGAAGAACCCAGAAUUUGAAGCUACCCAUCUAAAACCUUAAGCUAGUAGAAACAGGUUAACUAUGGAAACAAAAUGAUACCCCAUCAUUGUUAGACUAUUCUGGCAUCAUUUAUCUUUACUGCAUUUUAUGAGUUAAACAUCUUAGAAAAGACAGUUAUUACAUGCUUUGAAGUUGAUGUUGAACUUUCAAUGUUACAUAGAUGAGGUUUGUCACAAGACCCACUACCCCAGUUCCCUUCCUUCCUGAACUAUUUUCUAGGCAUGAUCUGUUAGGACAAUUUCUGACAUCUUGACCUAGGAUGGAAGUGUUCUGAUGGAAGAUUCUAUGCCAGUCCAGAAGUAUAAAACCAAAACCAGGCAUUGCAACAAAAGUGAAAACAAUUGCUAAUGAGUCAAAAGAAUGAACAAAUUCCACUAAAUCUUAGCGUGAAGCUUGAAAAGGGGAAAAAAAAAGGUAAGGAAACUAUCAGUCACAAGACUGUGAAUUUACUCCCAGCCUUCUCCCAAACAGUGCCAAGUUCCAGGAAAAACAUGUACAUUUGCCAGGUCAACUCUUCCAUACUCUUAGAAGGAGUGGAAAUUGAUGCAAUUUCUUUGGGGUACAUUCUUAGAAGGAGUGGAAAUUGAUGCAAUUUCUUUGGGGGACAAAUUCAUCUAAAUUUAAAAUAUAUAGGGGUUCUCUUGUGGUGCAGUGGGUUAAGGAUCCAGCAUCGUCACUGCAAUGACUCAGGUGGCUGCUAUGGUGUGGGUUUGAUCUCUGGCCCAGGAACUUCCACAUGCCAAGGCCAAAACAAACAAACAAACAAUGUGUACUCUCUUUGAGAAUUUCAUUUUUAGUAAUCUGCAUGGCAUAUAUAAUCCACAUGUAUGUUUUCAAAAUUGUAUGUGCAUUAUUUGUAAGAACACAAGAUUGGAAACACAUAAAUAUGUCAGUGGAGGACUGGUUACAUAAAUUAUGUUACAUUUAUACAGUGGAACAGCUACAUGUCCUGAAAAAGUGAGUUGAAGUGUAACAAUCUGCAAAAUGUGUUGUGAACAAAAAAAAUACUAAGCUUUCUCCCCCUUCCUUGUAUAUACAUUGAAUUUCUCUGGAAGGAGACACAUGGACUGAUGACUGUGUCUGCUUCUAGAAAAGGAGACUAAAGGACCCAGGAACAGGGCAACAGGGCAAGGAGGAAGAACUGCAUUCUACUACACAGAGUUUAGAUUUUUAACAUUCUACAUAUAGCUAAUUUUAUUUUAUUUUUUAUUUUAGUUACUUAUUUGUUUAUUUAUUUAUUUAUUGCUUUUUAGGGCCACAUCUGCAGCAUAUGGAGGUUCCCAGGCUAGGGGUCUAAUCAGAGCUACAGCUGCCGGCCUUUGCCACACCCACAACAACAUGGGAUCUGAGACACGUGUGCAAUCUAUACCAUAGCUCAUUCUUAACCCACUGAAUGAGGCUAGGGAUGGAACCCACAACCUCAUGAUUCCUAGCUGGAUUCAUUUCCGCUGAGCCAUGAUGGGAACACCCAUAUUGCUAAUUUUAAAAGUUACUUUUUAAAAUGUAUGCAUUGCCACAGUCAUGGUAUCUGUAACUUUUAUCAUCAAUGGAAAUCAAGUUUAUCAUACAUAUUAAAGUUGUUUCGGCUAUCUGGAAACUGCGAAGCUCAACUGCAGUGGAAAUUAUAGUCGUUAUCAAACUGGAUAAUAGAUCUUAUUUGCGUGCUAAUAAAGAAACACGUAGGAGUCCCUGGUGGCCUAGCAGUUAGGUAUUAUCCGGUGUUGUCACUGCUGUGAGUCAGGUUUGAUCUGUGGUCUGGGAACUUCUGUAUGCCAUGAGUGCAGCCAAAAAAAAAAA
Molecule: long non-coding RNA, 2488 nt
Filed under: Sus scrofa (pig)
Lineage: Eukaryota; Metazoa; Chordata; Mammalia; Artiodactyla; Suidae
Description: lncRNA (ENSSSCG00040035855.1)
Source: RNAcentral